RNAcentral lists this ribosomal RNA (497 nucleotides) under uncultured bacterium. RNAcentral's name for it is "partial 16S ribosomal RNA". It matches the Rfam family "Bacterial small subunit ribosomal RNA", at positions 28 to 507 of the family's 1533-position model. The record is from RNAcentral.
GAUGAACGCUGGCGGCGUGCCUAAUACAUGCAAGUCGAGCGAACAGACGAGGAGCUUACUCCUCUGACGUUAGCGGCGGACGGGUGAGUAACACGUGGAUAACCUACCUAUAAGACUGGGAUAACUUCGGGAAACCGGAGCUAAUACCGGAUAACAUGUUGAACCGCAUGGUUCAACAGUGAAAGACGGUCUUGCUGUCACUUAUAGAUGGAUCCGCGUCGCAUUAGCUAGUUGGUAAGGUAACGGCUUACCAAGGCAACGAUGCGUAGCCGACCUGAGAGAGUGAUAGGCCACCCUGGAACUGAGACACGGUCCAGACUCCUACGGGAGGCAGCAGUAGGGAAUCUUCCGCAAUGGGCGAAAGCCUGACGGAGCAACGCCGCGUGAGUGAAGAAGGUCUUCGGAUCGUAAAACUCUGUUAUUAGGGAAGAACAAAUGUGUAAGUAACUAUGCACGUCUUGACGGUACCUAAUCAGAAAGCCACGGCUAACUACGUG